CUUUUAAAAGACCUAGUAAUAGGUAUGCUUUAGGAGGGGCUUGCGCCAUAUUAGUUAGUUGGUAGGGUAAUGGCCUACCAAGACGAUGAUGUGUAGCUGGACUGAGAGGUUGAACAGCCACAUUGGGACUGAGACACGGCCCAAACUCCUACGGGAGGCAGCAGUAGGGAAUUUUCGGCAAUGGAGGAAACUCUGACCGAGCAACGCCGCGUGAAUGACGAAGUACUUCGGUAUGUAAAGUUCUUUUAUCAAGGAAGAAAAGCAAAUGGCGAACCAUUUGUUUGCCGGUACUUGAUGAAUAAGCCCCGGCUAAUUAUGUGCCAGCAGCCGCGGUAAGACAUAAGGGGCAAGUGUUAUCCGGAAUUAUUGGGCGUAAAGGGUGCGUAGGCGGUCUAGUAAGUCAGUGGUGUAAUGGCAACGCUUAACGUUGUCCGGCUAUUGAAACUGCUAAACUUGAGUUAGAUAGAGGCGAGUGGAAUUCCAUGUGUAGCGGUAAAAUGCGUAAAUAUAUGGAGGAACACCAGAGGCGUAGGCGGCUCGCUGGGUCUUAACUGACGCUGAGGCACGAAAGCGUGGGGAGCAAACAGGAUUAGAUACCCUGGUAGUCCACGCCGUAAACGAUGAGUACUAAGUGUCGGGUUAAACCGGUACUGAAGUUAACACAUUAAGUACUCCGCCUGAGUAGUACGUACGCAAGUAUGAAACUUAAAGGAAUUGACGGGACUCCGCACAAGCGGUGGAUCAUGUUGUUUAAUUCGAAGAUACCCGAAAAACCUUACCAGGUCUUGACAUGUUUUUGCAAAAUGAUAGUAAUAUCGUGGAGGUUACCAGAAACACAGGUGGUGCAUGGUUGUCGUCAGCUCGUGUCGUGAGAUGUUAGGUUAAGUCCUAAAACGAGCGAAACCCUUAUCGUUAGUUGCCAGCACGUUAUGGUGGGGACUUUAACGAGACUGCCAAUGAUAAAUUGGAGGAAGGUGAGGAUCACGUCAAAUCAGCAUGCCCCUUAUGACCUGGGCUACAAACGUGAUACAAUGGCUGUUACAAAGGGUAGCUGAAACGCAAGUUCUUGGCCAAUCCCCAAAAACAGUCCCAGUCCGGAUUGAAGUCUGCAACUCGACUUCAUGAAGUUGGAAUCGCUAGUAAUCGCGAAUCAGCAUGUCGCGGUGAAUACGUUC
RNAcentral lists this ribosomal RNA (1175 nucleotides) under Sesame phyllody phytoplasma. Its description in RNAcentral is "bacterial SSU rRNA". It matches the Rfam family "Bacterial small subunit ribosomal RNA", at positions 185 to 1373 of the family's 1533-position model. The record is from RNAcentral. Lineage: Bacteria; Bacillati; Mycoplasmatota; Mollicutes; Acholeplasmatales; Acholeplasmataceae.